RNAcentral lists this transfer RNA (66 nucleotides) under Salmonella enterica subsp. enterica serovar Paratyphi A. RNAcentral describes it as "tRNA-Pseudo". The record is from RNAcentral. Lineage: Bacteria; Pseudomonadati; Pseudomonadota; Gammaproteobacteria; Enterobacterales; Enterobacteriaceae.
GCGGGAAUAGCUCAGUUGGUAGAGCACGACCUUGCCAAGGUCGGGGAGUUUAAAAGCAUUGGCGUA